This 202-nucleotide unclassified non-coding RNA is filed under the name soil metagenome. RNAcentral describes it as "partial internal transcribed spacer 1". The record is from RNAcentral.
CAGAGCGACCCCGGGGUCCCCCGAAGGGGGUGUCCUCGUCAGUCGAUGCCCACUGUGAACCCUACCAAGCCGUUGCCUUUUCGGCGGGCGGCCCCCUGGGAGGGGACCAAUGCCUCUUCGCUGAGGCGUCCGCCGGGGCACACCAAUCUACCCAAACUCUAUUGUCUCUAGUGAGUCUCUGAGCACUAAAGAAAAUGAAUCA